UACGAGUGCUCCAAGCGUUAUCCGAAAUCAUUGGGCGUAAAGGGUGUGUAGGCGGUCUCAUUAGUCUUCUGUCAAAUUCUUCGGCUUAACCGGGGGCUCGCAGAGGAAACGGUGAGACUUGAGGAUGCGAGAGGUGAAUGGAACUCAUGGAGUAGGGGUGAAAUCCGUUGAUAUCAUGGGGAACACCAAAUGCGAAGGCAGUUCACUGGCGCACUCCUGACGCUGAGACACGAAAGCGUAGGUAGCGAAUGGG
RNAcentral lists this ribosomal RNA (253 nucleotides) under uncultured bacterium. RNAcentral describes it as "partial 16S ribosomal RNA". It matches the Rfam family "Bacterial small subunit ribosomal RNA", at positions 524 to 776 of the family's 1533-position model. The record is from RNAcentral.